Tupaia belangeri (northern tree shrew) is the source of this 104-nucleotide small nuclear RNA. The record is from Ensembl. Lineage: Eukaryota; Metazoa; Chordata; Mammalia; Scandentia; Tupaiidae.
GUGCUUGCUUUGGCAGCACAUAUACUAAAGUUGGAAUGUUACAGAGAAGAUUAGCAUGGCCGCUGUCUAAGAAUGACAUGCAAAAUAAAAAUUAUGAUGCUUUA